AUGUGUUCUCACUGUGCACACACACUGCUCAGCUCACUGUGCACACACAUGUGCUCCACUCACUGUACACUCACGUGUUCCACUCACUGUGUACACACAUGUGUUCUCACUGUGCACACACACUGCUCAGCUCACUGUGCACACACAUGUGCUCCACUCACUGUACACUCACGUGCUCCACUCACUGUGUACACACAUGUGUUCUCACUGUGCAUACACACUGCUCAGCUCACUGUGCACACACAUGUGCUCCACUCACUGUGCACUCACGUGCUCCACUCACUGUGUACACACAUGUGUUCUCACUGUGCAUACACACUGCUCAGCUCACUGUGCACACACAUGUGCUCCACUCACUGUACACUCACGUGCUCCACUCACUGUGUACACACAUGUGUUCUCACUGUGCAUACACACUGCUCAGCUCACUGUGCACACACAUGUGCUCCACUCACUGUACACUCACGUGCUCCACUCACUGUGUACACACAUGUGUUCUCACUGUGCACACAGUGCUCAGCUCACUGUGCACACACAUGUGCUCCACUCACUGUACACUCACGUGUUCCACUCACUGUGUACACACAUGUGUUCUCACUGUGCACACACACUGCUCAGCUCACUGUGCACACACAUGUGCUCCACUCACUGUACACUCACGUGCUCCACUCACUGUGUGCACACAUGUGUUCUCACUGUGCACACAGUGCUCAGCUCACUGUGCACACACAUGUGCUCCACUCACUGUACACUCACGUGCUCCACUCACUGUGUGCACACAUGUGUUCUCACUGUGCACACAGUGCUCAGCUCACUGUGCACACACAUGUGCUCCACUCACUGUACACUCACGUGCUCCACUCACUGUGUACACACAUGUGUUCUCACUGUGCACACAGUGCUCAGCUCACUGUGCACACACAUGUGCUCCACUCACAGUACACUCACGUGCUCCACUCACUGUGUGCACACAUGUGUUCUCACUGUGCACACAGUGCUCAGCUCACUGUGCACACACAUGUGCUCCACUCACUGUACACUCACGUGCUCCACUCACUGUGUACACACAUGUGUUCUCACUGUGCACACAGUGCUCAGCUCACUGUGCACACACAUGUGCUCCAUUCACUGUACGCUCAUGUGUUCCACUCACUGUGCACACUCACAUGCUCCACUCACUGUGUACCCACAUAUGUUCCACUCACUGCACACUCACAUGCUCCGCUCACUGUGCACACUCACGUGUUCUACUCACUGUGCAUACACAUGUGCUCCACUCACUGUGCACACUCACAUGCUCCGCUCACUGUGCACACUCACAUGUUCUACUCACUGUGCACACACAUGUGCUCCACUCACUGUGUACCCACACAUGUUACACUCACUGUGCACACUCACAUGCUCCACUCACUGUGCACACAAAGUGCUCCGCUCACUGUGCACACUCACAUGUUACACUCACUGUGCACACUUAUAUGCUCUUCUCACUGCACACUCACAUGCUCCACUCACUGUGCACACACAGUGCUCCACUCACUGUGUACCCACAAUGCUCUGUUCACUAUUCACACUCACGUGUUCCACUCACUGUGCACACACAGUGCUCUUCUCACUGCACACUCAUGUGCUCUGCUCACUGUGUACCCACACGUGUUCCACUCACUAUGCACACUCACGUGCUCCACUCACUGUGCACACACAAUGCUCUGUUCACUAUUCACACUCACGUGUUCUGCUCACUGUGUACACUCACAUGCUCUGCUCACUGUGUACCCACACAUGUUACACUCACUGUGCACACUCACAAGCUCCACUCACUGUGCACACUCACAUGCUCCACUCAGUGUAUACACACGUGUUCCACUCACUGUGCACACACACAUGCUCUUCUCACUGUGCACACUCACAUGCUCCACUCACUGUGCACACACAGUGCUGUGUUCACUGUGUACCCACACAUGUCUAGGCAUUGUGCACACUCACAAGCUCCACUCACUGUGCACACACAGUGCUGUGUUCACUGUGUACCCACACAUGUCUACGCAUUGUGUACACUCACAUGCUCCACUCACUGUGCACACACAGUGCUGUGUUCACUGUGUACCCAUACAUGUUACACUCACUGUGCACACUCACAUGCUCCACUCACUGUGCACACACAGUGCUGUGUUCACUGUGUACCCACACAUGUCUACGCAUUGUGCAUACUCACAUGCUCCACUCACUGUGCACACAGUGCUCUGCCCACUGUUCACAUUCAUGUGCUCUGCUCACUGUGUACCCACACAAGUUACACUCACUGUGUACAUUCACAUGCUCUCCUCUGUACGCUCUCGUCUCUGUGUACUCGUGUGUGUGCACUCUCAUGCUCCUUUACGUGCUCUACUCACAUGUGGACAUGGUUUCCCGAGCACCAUGCCUUGGGUAUGUGAAUGUGUGAAGAACUCCACAUGUAUGAUUUGA
Molecule: long non-coding RNA, 2463 nt
Organism: Oryctolagus cuniculus (rabbit)
Lineage: Eukaryota; Metazoa; Chordata; Mammalia; Lagomorpha; Leporidae
Source: Ensembl